RNAcentral lists this ribosomal RNA (274 nucleotides) under uncultured bacterium. RNAcentral's name for it is "partial 16S ribosomal RNA". It matches the Rfam family "Bacterial small subunit ribosomal RNA", at positions 523 to 796 of the family's 1533-position model. The record is from RNAcentral.
AUACGGAGGGUGCAAGCGUUAAUCGGAAUUACUGGGCGUAAAGCGUACGUAGGCGGUCCGUUAAGUUAGAUGUGAAAGCCCCGGGCUUAACCUGGGAACUGCAUUUAAAACUGGCGGACUAGAGUUGAGUAGAGGGGAGUGGAAUUUCAGGUGUAGCGGUGAAAUGCGUAGAGAUCUGAAGGAACACCAGUGGCGAAGGCGACUCCCUGGACUCGAACUGACGCUGAGGUACGAAAGCGUGGGUAGCAAACGGAAUUAGAAACCCCGGUAGUCC